This 528-nucleotide ribosomal RNA is filed under the name uncultured bacterium. RNAcentral describes it as "partial 16S ribosomal RNA". It matches the Rfam family "Bacterial small subunit ribosomal RNA", at positions 355 to 873 of the family's 1533-position model. The record is from RNAcentral.
UGGGGAAUAUUGCACAAUGGGCGCAAGCCUGAUGCAGCCAUGCCGCGUGUGUGAAGAAGGCCUUCGGGUUGUAAAGCACUUUCAGCGAGGAGGAAGGUGGUGAACUUAAUACGUCAUCAAUUGACGUUACUCGCAGAAGAAGCACCGGCUAACUCCGUGCCAGCAGCCGCGGUAAUACGGAGGGUGCAAGCGUUAAUCGGAAUUACUGGGCGUAAAGCGCACGCAGGCGGUUUGUUAAGUCAGAUGUGAAAUCCCCGGGCUCAACCUGGGAACUGCAUUUGAAACUGGCAAGCUAGAGUCUCGUAGAGGGGGGUAGAAUUCCAGGUGUAGCGGUGAAAUGCGUAGAGAUCUGGAGGAAUACCGGUGGCGAAGGCGGCCCCCUGGACGAAGACUGACGCUCAGGUGCGAAAGCGUGGGGCAGCAAACAGGAUUAGAUACCCUGGUAGUCCACGCUGUAAACGAUGUCGAUUUUGGAGGUUGUGCCCCUUGAGGCGUGGCUUCCGGAGCUAACGCGUUAAAUCGACCGCC